Molecule: ribosomal RNA, 449 nt
Filed under: uncultured bacterium
Lineage: Bacteria
Description: bacterial SSU rRNA
Rfam family: Bacterial small subunit ribosomal RNA
Source: RNAcentral
AAUGAACGUUGGCGGCGUGGAUUAGGCAUGCAAGUCGUGGGAGAACCCGCAGGGGGGAAACCGGCGAACGGGGUAGGACAACAUCGGUAACGUACCCUCAGGACGGGGAUAGCGGCGGGAAACUGCCGGUAAUACCCGAUGAGUCUGGCCGAACUGGGAGGUCGGUCAGCAAAGGUGAUAUUCCGCCUGGGGAGCGGCUGAUGCGCUAUUAGCUAGUUGGCGGGGUGACGGCCCACCAAAGCGACGAUGGCUAGGGGGUGUGAGAGCAUGGCCCCCACCACUGGCACUGAGACACUGGCCAGACACCUACGGGUGGCUGCAGUCGAGAAUCUUCGGCAAUGGGCGCAAGCCUGACCGAGCGACGCCGCGUGCGGGAUGAAGGUCUUCGGAUUGUAAACCGCUGUCGGAGGGGAUGAGAUGCGUCGGGGUGCUCCCCGGCGUUUGACAGA